UUUAGGGCAGAGUUUUCUGAGUAACAUGUUCCAGUAUUGCUUUAUUGGCACCUAAACACUAAAGUGUUUUGGUUCUGUCACUAAGGAGAAACAGUGGAAAUAUUAGGAAAAGCAUGCUACCAUACAAAGUUUUGGCAGUAUAUAAUAUGUAUACUGUGCACAGUAAGUGAAAUUUCUGUAUGUAUGGAAUACCCAGGCCUACUACAUUUGGCAAUAUGCAGUCUUCAACAGCGCAGUGCACUGGGAGAUUCUGUUCUCCAAGCAAAAACAUGGAUGCUAACUAUGGAGGGCAGAGUCAUCAUCCAGCCGCAAGAGCUAACCUAUUUUUCAUCAGCAUUAGCUGUCCUGUUUGGCUGCUACUAUGUAUUCAAUGUGCAGUACCAGGAAGAGGCGGCCAGUACACUGGAGUUUAUUUAGAGGUUCAUUCUAAGAAUCAACCCUGAUGGCACCAAAUGCCAAUCAAAGUCACACAUCAGCCAAAAACCUGGAAAGUGGGUGCAAAGAAAAAGCGUCAGUCUGAAUAUCCCCGUUGACUUUGAUUGGCAAAAUUAUAAAAAAUAAAUAAAAACAAACUGAUUUUUUUAUUUAAUUUUAUUAUGGCUUGAUUCACUUUCAAAAUGUGUAAGUUUUAGCCAUGUUACAUUACAGAUA
Long non-coding RNA from Myxocyprinus asiaticus (Chinese sucker), 651 nucleotides. RefSeq lists it as uncharacterized. NCBI's taxonomy places the organism in Eukaryota, Metazoa, Chordata, Actinopteri, Cypriniformes, Catostomidae. The transcript is spliced from 3 exons. The record is from RefSeq and is a predicted model, not a curated record.